This 240-nucleotide unclassified non-coding RNA is filed under the name soil metagenome. Its description in RNAcentral is "partial contains 5.8S ribosomal RNA, internal transcribed spacer 2, and large subunit ribosomal RNA". The record is from RNAcentral.
AACCAUAGAAACCUGCGGAGUACCUGCGGAGGGAUCAUUAUAGUAUAUGGAAUCUCCAUUCUAUAAACCCACUCUGCGUAUCUUGUAACUGUUGCUUCCAUGGGACUUGGUUCCGCCACACCGGCCUCACGGCUGGUGAGCGCCCAUGGAAGGAGAAACAAAACUCUUCUUUGAAAUGUAGUCAGUCUGAACAAGUUUUUAUAAACGUUAAAACUUUUAACAAUGGAUCUCAGAUCGGAA